GCACACCGCGGUAUACGGAGAGGGCUAGCGUCAUUCGGAAUUAUUGGGCGUAAAGGGCGCGUAGGCGGAUUAGUAAGUUAAAAGUGAAAUCCCAAGGCUCAACCUUGGAAUUGCUUUUAAAACUGCUAAUCUAGAGAUUGAAAGAGGAUAGAGGAAUUCCUAGUGUAGAGGUGAAAUUCGUAAAUAUUAGGAGGAACACCAGUGGCGAAGGCGUCUAUCUGGUUCAAAUCUGACGCUGAGGCGCGAAGGCGUGGGGAGCAAACAGGAUUAGAUACCCUGGUAGUCCACGCUGUAAACGAUGAAUGUUAAAUAUGGGAAGUUUUACUUUCUGUAUUACAGCUAACGCGUUAAACAUUCCGCCUGGGGACUACGGUCGCAAGAUUAAAACUCAAAGGAAUUGACGGGGACCCGCACAAGCGGUGGAGCAUGUGGUUUAAUUCGAUGCAACGCGAAAAACCUUACCACUCCUUGACAUGGAAAUUAUACCUAUUCGAAGGGAUAGGGUCGGUUCGGCCGGGUUUCACACAGGUGUUGCAUGGCUGUCGUCMGCUCGUGUCGUGAGAUGUUGGGUUAAGUCCCGCAACGAGACGCAACCCUCAUCCUUAGUUACCAUCAKGUAAUGCUGGGGACUUUAAGGAAACUGCCAGUGAUAAGCUGGAGGAAGGUGGGGGAUGAUGUCAAGUCAUCAUGGCCCUUAUGGAGUGGGCUACACACCUGCUACAAUGGUGGCUACAAUGGGCUGCAAAGUCGCAAGGCUAAGCCAAUCCCUUAAAAGCCAUCUCAGUUCGGAUUGUACUCUGCAACUCGAGUGCAUGAAGUUGGAAUCGCUAGUAAUCGUGGAUCAGCACGCCACGGUGAAUACGUUCUCGGGUCUUGUACACACUGCCCGUCACGCCAUGGGAAUUGGUUCACUCG
Molecule: ribosomal RNA, 915 nt
Filed under: uncultured bacterium
Lineage: Bacteria
Description: bacterial SSU rRNA
Rfam family: Bacterial small subunit ribosomal RNA
Source: RNAcentral